UAUGUGGACAUAAGGCUUACCCAUCUUUACCAGCAAAAUGGGGAGGUCUAUGUGCACUCGUG
Molecule: microRNA precursor, 62 nt
Organism: Astatotilapia calliptera (eastern happy)
Lineage: Eukaryota; Metazoa; Chordata; Actinopteri; Cichliformes; Cichlidae
Source: Ensembl